Molecule: ribosomal RNA, 274 nt
Filed under: uncultured bacterium
Lineage: Bacteria
Description: partial 16S ribosomal RNA
Rfam family: Bacterial small subunit ribosomal RNA
Source: RNAcentral
AUACGGAGGGUGCAAGCGUUACUCGGAAUCACUGGGCGUAAAGCGCGCGCAGGCGGUCUUUUAAGUUGGAUGUGAAAGCCUACGGCUCAACCGUAGAACUGCAUCCAAAACUAUUAGACUAGAGUGUGGGAGAGGAAGAUGGAAUUAGUUGUGUAGGGGUAAAAUCCGUAGAGAUAUCUAGGAAUACCAAAAGCGAAGGCAAUCUUCUGGAACACUACUGACGCUGAGGCGCGAAAGCGUGGGGAGCAAACAGGAUUAGAAACCCCAGUAGUCC